UACGAAGGGGGCUAGCGUUGUUCGGAAUUACUGGGCGUAAAGCGCGUGUAGGCGGGCCGUUAAGUCGGGGGUGAAAGCCCAGAGCUCAACUCUGGAAUUGCCUUCGAUACUGGCGGCCUGGAGCAUGUUAGAGGCGAGUGGAAUUGCGAGUGUAGAGGUGAAAUUCGUAGAUAUUCGCAGGAACACCAGUGGCGAAGGCGACUCGCUGGGACAUUGCUGACGCUGAGACGCGAAAGCGUGGGGAGCAAAC
This 250-nucleotide ribosomal RNA is filed under the name uncultured bacterium. Its description in RNAcentral is "partial 16S ribosomal RNA". It matches the Rfam family "Bacterial small subunit ribosomal RNA", at positions 524 to 773 of the family's 1533-position model. The record is from RNAcentral.